AAGUCGUAACAAGGUUUCUGUAGGUGAACCUGCAGAAGGAUCAUUAGUGAAGAUUCAAGGGCCAGCCAUACAGACGUACAAUAAGUGUGUCUCUGGCGGCCUCCGCAUCCACUAUACAUACCCAUAACCGUGUGCACUGUUCUAAGGAGUAAGAAAGAAAGAAAGGGGGGAGGGGGAGAGAGAGUGCAUUGUGCUUUUGCAUAUAACUCUCUCUCACUCUCCACUCUCUUUUCUCUCUCCGGGUUAAUUUACAAACUCGUAUGGAUUUGUAUGAACGUGAGAUAUAUCGUUGGACCGUCACUGGCCCAACAAAUUAUAACACAA
RNAcentral lists this unclassified non-coding RNA (324 nucleotides) under plant metagenome. Its description in RNAcentral is "partial contains small subunit ribosomal RNA and internal transcribed spacer 1". The stretch from base 1 to 46 matches the Rfam family "Eukaryotic small subunit ribosomal RNA", at positions 1786 to 1831 of the family's 1831-position model. The record is from RNAcentral.